This 487-nucleotide ribosomal RNA is filed under the name uncultured Flavobacterium sp. RNAcentral describes it as "bacterial SSU rRNA". It matches the Rfam family "Bacterial small subunit ribosomal RNA", at positions 21 to 507 of the family's 1533-position model. The record is from RNAcentral. Lineage: Bacteria; Pseudomonadati; Bacteroidota; Flavobacteriia; Flavobacteriales; Flavobacteriaceae.
GGCUCAGGAUGAACGCUAGCGGCAGGCUUAACACAUGCAAGUCGAGGGGUAGGAAUAGCUUGCUAUUUUGAGACCGGCGCACGGGUGCGUAACGCGUAUGCAAUCUGCCUUUUACAAAGGGAUAGCCAAGAGAAAUUUGGAUUAAUACCUUAUAGCAUUACAGGAUGGCAUCAUCCUGUGAUUAAAGAUUUAUCGGUAAAAGAUGAGCAUGCGUCCCAUUAGCUAGUUGGUAAGGUAACGGCUUACCAAGGCUAUGAUGGGUAGGGGUCCUGAGAGGGAGAUCCCCCACACUGGUACUGAGACACGGACCAGACUCCUACGGGAGGCAGCAGUGAGGAAUAUUGGACAAUGAGCGCAAGCCUGAUCCAGCCAUGCCGCGUGCAGGAUGAAGCAUCUAUGGUGUGUAAACUGCUUUUAUACGGGAAGAAACCCUGGGACGUGUCCCAGACUGACGGUACCGUAGGAAUAAGGAUCGGCUAACUCCGUG